Cervus elaphus (red deer) is the source of this 220-nucleotide long non-coding RNA. RefSeq lists it as uncharacterized. The record is from RefSeq and is a predicted model, not a curated record. NCBI's taxonomy places the organism in Eukaryota, Metazoa, Chordata, Mammalia, Artiodactyla, Cervidae. The transcript is spliced from 3 exons.
GAUGUGUCCUGUUUGACAGAGCUUUGGUCCAGUGAGCAUCAUCAUGAACAUCAUCGAAUCUUCAAGGGGUCAAGAAUAUAACCACAAUUGGCUCAUGUGAGUGACAAGUCACACUAAUUGCAAGGGCUUCAUGCAUGGCUGGAUCCAGGAGCUCCAACUAUAUACUUAACACAGGCUCCAGGUGCAUGGGCUUCAGUCGUUGGCAGGAUUCUCAGCCAUU